This 257-nucleotide long non-coding RNA is filed under the name Solanum tuberosum (potato). Its description in RNAcentral is "long non-coding RNA (STUB_LNC009304)". The record is from RNAcentral. Lineage: Eukaryota; Viridiplantae; Streptophyta; Magnoliopsida; Solanales; Solanaceae.
UCCGUUGCAUUUCGAACAUAUGUGGUCAGGGUAUUUGUGACCAAUUAGCUUGCAAUAUCUCGUUAAUAACUCUGCCGAAAUAAAUCCUACUUUUAGUGCUCGUGUUGUAGGUCGUUCUUCUGGCUUAAGUAAUGAUAAAAUCCAUCUCUGGACUUCAUCCAUAUCUGCUUUCCUUAGCUCCCUUGAAUUGGAAUAAAUCAUUAACUGAUCUCUUGCAUAGUAGCUCCAUAUAGCGUUUCCGUUUAAAUAAUUAUUUG